Molecule: ribosomal RNA, 1947 nt
Filed under: seawater metagenome
Description: bacterial LSU rRNA
Rfam family: Bacterial large subunit ribosomal RNA
Source: RNAcentral
GCUAACGUCCGUCGUGAAGAGGGAAACAACCCAGACCGCCAGCUAAGGUCCCAAAGUCAUAGUUAAGUGGGAAACGAUGUGGAAAGGCCCAGACAGCCAGGAGGUUGGCUUAGAAGCAGCCAUCCUUUAAAGAAAGCGUAAUAGCUCACUGGUCGAGUCGGUCUGCGCGGAAGAUGUAACGGGGCUAAACUAUGCACCGAAGCUGCGGAUUCAUACUUUGUAUGAGUGGUAGGGGAGCGUUCUGUAAGCGGUUGAAGGUGUACCGGGAGGUAUGCUGGACGUAUCAGAAGUGCGAAUGCUGACAUGAGUAACGAUAAUGCGGGUGAAAAACCCGCACGCCGGAAGACCAAGGGUUCCUAUCCCAUGUUAAUCAGGGUAGGGUAAGUCGACCCCUAAGGCGAGGCCGAAAGGCGUAGUCGAUGGGAAACGGAUUAAUAUUUCCGUACUUGGUAUAAUUGCGAUGGGGGGACGGAGAAGGCUAAGCAAGCAUGGCGAUGGUUGUCCAUGUGAAAGUGAGUAGGGCGUUUGUUUAGGUAAAUCCGGACGAACAUUAAACCUGAGACACGAGACGAGUCACUACGGUGAUGAAGUUGCUGAUGCCAUACUUCCAGGAAAAGCCUCUAAGCUUCAGAUUAUACCGAAUCGUACCCCAAACCGACACAGGUGGUCAGGUAGAGAAUACUAAGGCGCUUGAGAGAACUCGGGUGAAGGAACUAGGCAAAAUCGUACCGUAACUUCGGGAGAAGGUACGCUCCUAUCUGUGAUGAGACUUGCUCUCUAAGCGGACGGGAGCCGCAGUGACCAGGUGGCUGGGACUGUUUAUUAAAAACACAGCACUGUGCAAAAUCGCAAGAUGACGUAUACGGUGUGACACCUGCCCGGUGCCGGAAGGUUAAUUGAUGGGGUUAUCUUCGGAGAAGCUCUUGAUCGAAGCCCCGGUAAACGGCGGCCGUAACUAUAACGGUCCUAAGGUAGCGAAAUUCCUUGUCGGGUAAGUUCCGACCUGCACGAAUGGUGUAACCAUGGCCACGCUGUCUCCACCCGAGACUCAGUGAAAUUGAAAUCGCAGUGAAGAUGCUGUGUACCCGCGGCUAGACGGAAAGACCCCGUGAACCUUUACUACAGCUUGGCACUGAACAUUGAACCUACAUGUGUAGGAUAGGUGGGAGACUUUGAAGCAGCGACGCUAGUUUUUGUGGAGUCGUCCUUGAAAUACCACCCUUGUAGUUUUGAUGUUCUAACGUUGGCCCCUGAAUCGGGGUUACGGACAGUGCCUGGUGGGUAGUUUGACUGGGGCGGUCUCCUCCCAAAGAGUAACGGAGGAGCACGAAGGUUGGCUAAGUACGGUCGGACAUCGUACGGUUAGUGCAAUGGCAUAAGCCAGCUUAACUGCGAGACAGACACGUCGAGCAGGUACGAAAGUAGGUCAUAGUGAUCCGGUGGUUCUGAAUGGAAGGGCCAUCGCUCAACGGAUAAAAGGUACUCCGGGGAUAACAGGCUGAUACCGCCCAAGAGUUCAUAUCGACGGCGGUGUUUGGCACCUCGAUGUCGGCUCAUCACAUCCUGGGGCUGAAGUCGGUCCCAAGGGUAUGGCUGUUCGCCAUUUAAAGUGGUACGCGAGCUGGGUUUAGAACGUCGUGAGACAGUUCGGUCCCUAUCUGCCGUGGGCGUUUGAGAAUUGAGAGGGGUUGCUCCUAGUACGAGAGGACCGGAGUGAACGAACCGCUGGUGUUCGGGUUGUCAUGCCAAUGGCAUUGCCCGGUAGCUACGUUCGGAACUGAUAAGCGCUGAAAGCAUCUAAGCGCGAAGCAGGCCUCGAGAUGAGUUCUCACUAGACUUUUAAAGUCUCUGAAGGGCCGUUGAAGACUACAACGUUGAUAGGCAAGAUGUGGAAGUGGUGUGAGCCAUUAAGCUAACUUGUACUAAUUACCCGUGAGGCUUAACCAU